This 493-nucleotide long non-coding RNA is filed under the name Ananas comosus (pineapple). Its description in RNAcentral is "long non-coding RNA (ACOM_LNC006890)". Lineage: Eukaryota; Viridiplantae; Streptophyta; Magnoliopsida; Poales; Bromeliaceae. The record is from RNAcentral.
GCUACACUUUCGAUUCAUCUCGAUCGACCACGGAUUCACAACAAAAUCCAACCUUCUUCCAAUAGAAGAAAACACACACACAAAUACAUAUAAAACAUGUAUUUUUGGAUUUUCUCGAAAUCCGUGCAUCAAACUCAAAAUCCAUUAGCGCCACUAGUUCCAGAACAGCUGAACCGGUCGAAACGAGCUAUUGGACUGAUAUGAACGGAGUCCGAUACGUACCAGAAGCCAACUCUACUCCGUGGCUUCUCCGGAAAACCGGAGUUACUAUUCACUUAAAUGAAAACUAAAAAUCGCGUAUCUUCUCCAUUUUAGCUCAGUUUCUCCUGAAACUUGACGAGUGCUUAUGUAAUUAAAUUACACACAUAAACAUCAUCAACAGAGAGUUUAGUAGCACUGUCAAAAAAUCUCAGUCCUUACAUAAAUUUAAUUCUACGAACGAUUAUAAUCAAUUUGUUAAAAAUAUUUUAAAUAAAAAAGAAUGAUUAUGAUC